GUUCAAAGCCUAAGAGAGAGACCUGCAAUAUGCAUGAGAAACAAUGGAUUGCCAUCCUGUUUGGGUUACCAACAUUUAAGGGUGACCUGUCUGUCCCCUUUAGGAGCUGUGGGGCCCAGGGCCGGCCAUACCAGUUCCAAGGCACGGCCCCCCUAAGGAUAGGCGAUCCAGGGAUGGAUCAGCAGACACUUGGCCCCCAUUUCCAGCUUGUCUCAGCCAGAUGACUCAAGAUGCUCAUCAGGUGGAUUCAGCACUCAUUAAAGGUACAAGGUUGACAGCGCUGGAAAAUGAAGCCCUCUAAUUAGCCCCAGGAUUGACAUACCCUGGAUAGGGGCUGUGCAAAGUUCACCACUCUGCCUGGCUAAUCUGUCUUCGUCCUGCUUGGGAACGACCCCAUCUCAAAAGGUGAGAUGAGCAGGUCAUUCAAUUCUCAGCCUCUGUGGAGGAUGCCAACAAAGGGGCCAAUUGUGUUGUGGAAGCACACCCCCUGGAACUGGACCAAGACCACCAAUGCACUUCUAAUGAAUAAUCCCCUUUGGUAAAUCCCGUCCUUUGUGUAGUUAUAUUACUUCUUUUUUUUUUUUGAAAGGAACAAUUUACAGAAGAGAAAAUAUUUUCUGAGACACCGCAGAUAACUAGAAACCUCAGAUGAUUUCGAUGGGCUGUUGGUUAUUUGUAACCGAAAUCUCUGAUAUUGGGCAGCCUGCUACAUGUUACUUAUUCUCCCAUCUACUCGCGAUGCUCCUCCAAACUGCUCUUUCCUUACUGCUCCUUCUGUCUGCCUCCUACGAUCUAGUUCAUAUCUUCACUCACGUUGCCCCCUGUGCUUGGAAAUGUCUCCUCCUUAAGCACAAAGGAUCAACUCCAAAAAAGGCAUUUAGGCACCUAAAUCCCAUUGAAAUCAAUCUGGGCCCAAGUCCCUGGGUUCUUUCCUUCAAAUCCCUCUUCAACACUCAUUUCUUCUAAAAUGCUUCCUUAUCAUUAAUCUGCAUGUUCAAUACAGUGUAAGGGGACUGUUGCCCCCUUACUAAC
Molecule: long non-coding RNA, 1032 nt
Organism: Terrapene triunguis (Three-toed box turtle)
Lineage: Eukaryota; Metazoa; Chordata; Testudines; Emydidae
Exons: 3
Source: RefSeq, a predicted model, not a curated record